AGUGAACGCUGGCGGUAGGCCUAACACAUGCAAGUCGAACGGCAGCACAGUAAGAGCUUGCUCUUACGGGUGGCGAGUGGCGGACGGGUGAGGAAUACAUCGGAAUCUACUUUUUCGUGGGGGAUAACGUAGGGAAACUUACGCUAAUACCGCAUACGACCUACGGGUGAAAGCAGGGGAUCUUCGGACCUUGCGCGAUUGAAUGAGCCGAUGUCGGAUUAGCUAGUUGGCGGGGUAAAGGCCCACCAAGGCGACGAUCCGUAGCUGGUCUGAGAGGAUGAUCAGCCACACUCGAACUGAGACACGGUCCAGACUCCUACGGGAGGCAGCAGUGGGGAAUAUUGGGCAAUGGGCGCAAGCCUGAUCCAGCCAUACCGCGUGGGUGAAGAAGGCCUUCGGGUUGUAAAGCCCUUUUGUUGGGAAAGAAAAGCAGCAGGUUAAUACCCCGCUGUUCUGACGGUACCCAAAGAAUAAGCACCGGCUAACUUCGUG
This 492-nucleotide ribosomal RNA is filed under the name uncultured bacterium. RNAcentral's name for it is "partial 16S ribosomal RNA". It matches the Rfam family "Bacterial small subunit ribosomal RNA", at positions 29 to 507 of the family's 1533-position model. The record is from RNAcentral.